Molecule: long non-coding RNA, 1725 nt
Organism: Drosophila santomea
Lineage: Eukaryota; Metazoa; Arthropoda; Insecta; Diptera; Drosophilidae
Exons: 3
Source: RefSeq, a predicted model, not a curated record
UUGUGCAAAUAAGUCGGGGAAAUGUUAUUUAUGCCCGUAAGAUUUUUCGUGAUUAAAUAACUAAGGCCCUGGCCAGUCGCCUCGCAAGUCCGCUUGUGUAGCAGAAUGACAGCAGUUGCAACUUAGCCGAGCUCCAAAUGUGUCAGCAUCGGUUGCAUAUUAAUGGCCCGGAGGUGUGCAUGCCAAUUGUCAUGCGCUGAAAUGCUUGUUAACAACGUCGAUUGCUUUUGGCCAAGUCAGUCGUCUAUAUAUCCCCAGUCGCAGUCGCAGUCACAGCACCAGCCCCACCCCCAACCACAAAGCAAAUCGAACUCCACAUCCACUUCCAAAUCGGAGCCAAAACCAAAGCCAAAUCCAACUCCUUACUCAACUGAACCUCCUGCUCUGCCACUUUUUCCUCUUUUUAAUCAAAAAGAAGUCGAUGCUCCUGACUCCCGACUCCAGACUCCUCCCCCGUGGCAAUAACGCCACACAUUUGUAAUGUUGCUUCUGUUUUUGGCUGAAAGAGGAGCCCAGGAAGCAGCAAAGACAGCAGAGGAAAUGCACCGAAUGCUCACACUGAGAAAAACCAGCUGGCAGUAGACUACUAAGGUAAAACGUUAGUGUAAAAGAAGUCAAGGUGAAAUACCAUGCAAUAUUUUAUGUUCCAGAACACUUUAUAGUUAUUUGCGGUGCAUCUCUUAGAUGCAUUUUACAAGUUACUUUAAGGCAAUCAAUUUGUAGUCGAAUCGCGUGGAUCGCAAGCGGGCGGGCGGGUGAUGGGCUGGAAAAACCAAUCAAAAGAGCGUUGCGAACGCAAAUUGAACGGCAAAUGGUUGCAAGAUGAUAUUUCAAUACACCAGCUUGCCGGGAUCACCUGUGCACCGCACUUCCAAUCCUUUCACUCCCCUUUUGGCCAACACUUUUUGGCCAUAAAUUAUGGACGGGCGACGCCUGCGCGCAGUUUUCUUACUUUUUUGCAGUUAUGAUUAUCGCGCCAGGAUGGAAGAUGGGGCAGCUAAGCAACAUAUAUUUUCGCAGUUGCCGGAGCCACCGCCAGUUGCACUUUUUAUGGCCCCUCGCGUGUAUGGCAGCUUAAAAGUUAAUAAAACACGCCCAAUGAUAACAAGCCGCCAACAACAUAUACUCGUAUAUAUGUAUAUAUACAUAUAUAUAUAUUGCCCCUGAGGUCUUCAUCAUCGUUUCGUAUUUCCCAACUUUGUGAGAUGAUCCGCCAGAACCGCCAGCAUCCCAGUCGAUCCUCGCCAGGUUACCAGAAGUCUUCGGAGCUUCGAGCUCGUAGAAAAACAAUCAAUUAGGCUCACAAGUAGCUUCCAACUCCAAGGGAGCGCCAUGAGUUUUCGUCUCCCCCAUCCCCCAUCCCAAGAUCAUGAUGGUGAUGAUGGGGUUUCGGCUGGUUAGGAUGGUUAGGUUGGUACCCAUGGCUGGCAUGUUGCCCAGUGGCAUCGACACGACUUUGAUUCUCUUUCUGCACCGACUGGCAGGAGUUUUAUGGCCUGCUUUGGCAAAAUUUAUGUUACAUUUUUAUAGUUCCAGUGUAAAUUGACUUUUAAAAUGCAAAAAUUUAUCAUAGCAACGGGCUGCAGUAUGCGGGGGGAAGUCCCGCGCCAACUUUAAUUGCCUGGCUUCGCAAGACGGUGGCAACUCUGGCGGAAGCUUCGAAAAGUCAAAAGAAAGCUUUGUGAAUGGGGCGAUAAACAUCUGCGCGUUUUCAAGAGGAAAACA